RNAcentral lists this ribosomal RNA (397 nucleotides) under uncultured bacterium. RNAcentral describes it as "bacterial SSU rRNA". It matches the Rfam family "Bacterial small subunit ribosomal RNA", at positions 29 to 417 of the family's 1533-position model. The record is from RNAcentral.
AAUGAACGCUGGCGGCGCGCCUAAUACAUGCAAGUCGAGCGAGAAGACGUAGCAAUACGUUUGUAAAGCGGCGAACGGGUGAGGAAUACAUGGGUAACCUACCCUAGAGUGGGGAAUAACUAGCCGAAAGGUUAGCUAAUACCGCGUACGCUCCUUGGACUUCGGUUCAGGGAGGAAAGCGAUGCCGAGGGUAUCGCGCUCUUGGAUGGGCUCAUGUCCUAUCAGCUUGNGGUGAGGUAACGGCUCACCAAGGCUUCGACGGGUAGCUGGUCUGAGAGGACGAUCAGCCACACUGGCACUGCGACACGGGCCAGACUCCUACGGGAGGCAGCAGUGGGGAAUCUUGCGCAAUGGGCGAAAGCCUGACGCAGCGACGCCGCGUGAGGGAUGACGGCCU